Long non-coding RNA from Cyprinus carpio (common carp), 846 nucleotides. RefSeq lists it as uncharacterized. NCBI's taxonomy places the organism in Eukaryota, Metazoa, Chordata, Actinopteri, Cypriniformes, Cyprinidae. The transcript is spliced from 2 exons. The record is from RefSeq and is a predicted model, not a curated record.
UUUUUGUUCCACCAAUGAAAAUAAUUCCUACAGAAGCCAAGAUACAAGAACUGGAAAAGUCCAAAUGCAGUUCGACUGUAUAUUAGCACUCUUGGAACACCGGCUAAUCAAUCACCGGAGGACUGUAACUAAAUGUUUAUAAUAUGAAUUUUAAAAUUCAGAAUGUUUGGGAUUUAGAUAAAGUCUUUGGUGAAAGGAAGUAAGGUCAUUGUAGCCUUGUCUUAAAAGGUCAGUAUGACAAACCACACAGAUGAGACAGCUAUUUUAGUUCUGGAGUUGUUCUCUUCGCAACCAUACAGCUGUACGCAAACCCUGCUUUAUUUACAGUGCCUGUUUUGUUUUUGUUGCUCUUUUGUCUGAUGCAGUCAUCAACCGUUUCAACAUUUUAUCAUUCCACUCUAUUUCCGUCUCUGUAUAUGAGUGUUUUUUUUUUUUUUUUUUUUUUUCAUAGACAGAGUCCUACUUAUUGAAGCUGGGGAAUUAUACUCCAGAAUCCCACUAAACUUACUAUGUUUUAAACAGAUUUAUGUAAUGCUCUUUAAAAAAAGAAAAGAAAAAAGAAACAAAAAUAUUGAGAAUGGCCUUACAGUCACAUAAAAUUUAUGAGAUAUGUAUUGUGAGGAGGAUUGUCACGUAGAAAAAUGAAGUUUUCUUCAUGGCUUGACAUGUUUGAAACUUUUGGACCCUCCCCUUGCCAGCACACACAAUCCCAUUGACUAAAGAAGAUGGCUAUCACAGAGAAUCCUCCUUGCACCGUUUAGGUUUUUUAUACAUAAGAUUGUACAAAGUAGUCCUCUACUGUUUUCAUAUAGUGUUUUUUUAUAUGAAAAUAAAUUUUCAAACUGA